GAUGAACGCUGGCGGCGUGCCUAAUACAUGCAAGUCGAGCGAACAGACGAGGAGCUUGCUCGUCGGACGUUAGCGGCGGACGGGUGAGUAACACGUGGAUAACCUACCUAUAAGACGGGGAAAACUUCGGGACACCGGAGAUAAUACCGGAUAAUAUAUUGAAGCACGUGGGUGAAUAGUAAAAUACGGUGGUGCGGGCACUAAUAGAGGGAUCCGCGCCGCAUUAGCUAGUUGGGAAGUUAACGGGCUACCAAGGCAACGAGGCGUAUCCGACCGAAGAGGGUGGUCGGCCACCCUGGAACUGGGACACGCUCCAGAGUCCUACGGUAGGCAGCAGUAGGGAACCUUCCGCAGUGGGCGAAAGCCUGACGGAGCAACGCGGCGUGAGUGGUGAAGGUCUUCGGAUCGUAAAACUCUGUUAUUAGGGAAGAACAAAUGUGUAAUGAGCUAUGCCCUUCUUGACGGUACCUAAUCAGAAAGCCCCGGCUAACUACGUG
RNAcentral lists this ribosomal RNA (497 nucleotides) under uncultured bacterium. RNAcentral describes it as "partial 16S ribosomal RNA". It matches the Rfam family "Bacterial small subunit ribosomal RNA", at positions 28 to 507 of the family's 1533-position model. The record is from RNAcentral.